This 293-nucleotide ribosomal RNA is filed under the name uncultured bacterium. RNAcentral describes it as "partial 16S ribosomal RNA". It matches the Rfam family "Archaeal small subunit ribosomal RNA", at positions 455 to 747 of the family's 1478-position model. The record is from RNAcentral.
GUGCCAGCAGCCGCGGUAAUACCGGCAGCCCGAGUGAUGGCCGAUAUUAUUGGGCCUAAAGCGUCCGUAGCUGGCCGAACAAGUCCGUCGGGAAAUCCACCUGCUCAACAGGUGGGCGCCCGGUGGAAACUGCGCGGCUUGGGACCGGAAGGCGCGACGGGUACGUCCGGGGUAGGAGUGAAAUCCCGUAAUCCUGGACGGACCGCCGAUGGCGAAAGCACGUCGCGAAGACGGAUCCGACAGUGAGGGACGAAAGCUAGGGUCUCGAACCGGAUUAGAUACCCCGGUAGUCC